RNAcentral lists this ribosomal RNA (2915 nucleotides) under Vibrio harveyi. Its description in RNAcentral is "bacterial LSU rRNA". It matches the Rfam family "Bacterial large subunit ribosomal RNA". The record is from RNAcentral. Lineage: Bacteria; Pseudomonadati; Pseudomonadota; Gammaproteobacteria; Vibrionales; Vibrionaceae.
GUUGUAUGGUUAAGUGACUAAGCGUACACGGUGGAUGCCUUGGCAGUCAGAGGCGAUGAAGGACGUAUUAACUUGCGAUAAGCCCAGAUUAGGUAGUAAAAACCAUUUGAGUCUGGGAUUUCCGAAUGGGGAAACCCACUAGCAUAAGCUAGUAUCGCUGCGUGAAUACAUAGCGCAGCGAGGCGAACCGGGGGAACUGAAACAUCUAAGUACCCCGAGGAAAAGAAAUCAACCGAGAUUCCGAAAGUAGCGGCGAGCGAAAUUGGACUAGCCCUUAAGCUUUUUAUGCGUCAGGUGAAACUUCUGGAAAGUUGUGCGAUACAGGGUGAUAGCCCCGUAACCGGCAACGCAUUUAAAGUGAAAUCGAGUAGGGCGGGACACGUGAUAUCCUGUCUGAAUAUGGGGGGACCAUCCUCCAAGGCUAAAUACUACUGACUGACCGAUAGUGAACCAGUACCGUGAGGGAAAGGCGAAAAGAACCCCUGUGAGGGGAGUGAAAUAGAACCUGAAACCGUGUACGUACAAGCAGUAGGAGCACCUUCGUGGUGUGACUGCGUACCUUUUGUAUAAUGGGUCAGCGACUUAUAUUCAGUGGCAAGGUUAACCAUCUAGGGGAGCCGUAGGGAAACCGAGUCUUAACUGGGCGUUCAGUCUCUGGAUAUAGACCCGAAACCAGGUGAUCUAGCCAUGGGCAGGUUGAAGGUUGAGUAACAUCAACUGGAGGACCGAACCGACUAAUGUUGAAAAAUUAGCGGAUGACUUGUGGCUAGGGGUGAAAGGCCAAUCAAACCUGGAGAUAGCUGGUUCUCCCCGAAAGCUAUUUAGGUAGCGCCUCGGACGAAUACUACUGGGGGUAGAGCACUGUUAAGGCUAGGGGGUCAUCCCGACUUACCAACCCUUUGCAAACUCCGAAUACCAGUAAGUACUAUCCGGGAGACACACGGCGGGUGCUAACGUCCGUCGUGGAGAGGGAAACAACCCAGACCGCCAGCUAAGGUCCCAAAUUACUACUAAGUGGGAAACGAUGUGGGAAGGCUCAGACAGCCAGGAUGUUGGCUUAGAAGCAGCCAUCAUUUAAAGAAAGCGUAAUAGCUCACUGGUCGAGUCGGCCUGCGCGGAAGAUGUAACGGGGCUAAGUAGUAAACCGAAGCUGCGGCAAUGCACUUUAGUGCAUUGGGUAGGGGAGCGUUCUGUAAGCGGUUGAAGGUGUGUGGUAACGCAUGCUGGACGUAUCAGAAGUGCGAAUGCUGACAUGAGUAACGAUAAAGGGGGUGAAAAACCUCCUCGCCGGAAGACCAAGGGUUCCUGUCCAACGUUAAUCGGGGCAGGGUAAGUCGACCCCUAAGGCGAGGCCGAAAGGCGUAGUCGAUGGGAAACGGGUUAAUAUUCCCGUACUUCUUACAAUUGCGAUGGGGGGACGGAGAAGGCUAGGUGGGCCUGGCGACGGUUGUCCAGGUUCAAGUGCGUAGGCUUAAGAGUUAGGUAAAUCCGGCUCUUUCUAAGGCUGAGACACGACGUCGAGCUACUACGGUAGUGAAGUCAUUGAUGCCAUGCUUCCAGGAAAAGCCUCUAAGCUUCAGAUUGUAAGGAAUCGUACCCCAAACCGACACAGGUGGUCGGGUAGAGAAUACCAAGGCGCUUGAGAGAACUCGGGUGAAGGAACUAGGCAAAAUGGUACCGUAACUUCGGGAGAAGGUACGCUCUCGACGGUGAAGUCCCUCGCGGAUGGAGCUAUUGAGAGUCGCAGAUACCAGGUGGCUGCAACUGUUUAUUAAAAACACAGCACUGUGCAAAAUCGUAAGAUGACGUAUACGGUGUGACGCCUGCCCGGUGCCGGAAGGUUAAUUGAUGGGGUUAGACUUCGGUCGAAGCUCUUGAUCGAAGCCCCGGUAAACGGCGGCCGUAACUAUAACGGUCCUAAGGUAGCGAAAUUCCUUGUCGGGUAAGUUCCGACCUGCACGAAUGGCGUAAUGAUGGCCACGCUGUCUCCACCCGAGACUCAGUGAAAUUGAAAUCGCUGUGAAGAUGCAGUGUACCCGCGGCUAGACGGAAAGACCCCGUGAACCUUUACUACAGCUUGGCACUGAACAUUGACCCUACAUGUGUAGGAUAGGUGGGAGGCUUUGAAGCACAGUCGCUAGAUUGUGUGGAGCCGUCCUUGAAAUACCACCCUUGUAGUGUUGAUGUUCUAACGUUGACCCCUAAUCGGGGUUGCGGACAGUGCCUGGUGGGUAGUUUGACUGGGGCGGUCUCCUCCCAAAGCGUAACGGAGGAGCACGAAGGUGGGCUAAUCACGGUUGGACAUCGUGAGGUUAGUGCAAUGGCAUAAGCCCGCUUGACUGCGAGAAUGACGGUUCGAGCAGGUGCGAAAGCAGGUCAUAGUGAUCCGGUGGUUCUGAAUGGAAGGGCCAUCGCUCAACGGAUAAAAGGUACUCCGGGGAUAACAGGCUGAUACCGCCCAAGAGUUCAUAUCGACGGCGGUGUUUGGCACCUCGAUGUCGGCUCAUCACAUCCUGGGGCUGAAGUCGGUCCCAAGGGUAUGGCUGUUCGCCAUUUAAAGUGGUACGCGAGCUGGGUUUAGAACGUCGUGAGACAGUUCGGUCCCUAUCUGCCGUGGGCGUUGGAAGAUUGAAGGGGGCUGCUCCUAGUACGAGAGGACCGGAGUGGACGAACCUCUGGUGUUCGGGUUGUGUCGCCAGACGCAUUGCCCGGUAGCUAAGUUCGGAAUCGAUAACCGCUGAAAGCAUCUAAGCGGGAAGCGAGCCCUGAGAUGAGUCUUCCCUGAUACUUUAAGUAUCCUAAAGGGUUGUUCGAGACUAGAACGUUGAUAGGCAGGGUGUGUAAGCGUUGUGAGGCGUUGAGCUAACCUGUACUAAUUGCCCGUGAGGCUUAACCAUACAACACCCAAGGGGUUU